Molecule: ribosomal RNA, 460 nt
Filed under: uncultured bacterium
Lineage: Bacteria
Description: partial 16S ribosomal RNA
Rfam family: Bacterial small subunit ribosomal RNA
Source: RNAcentral
CCUACGGGAGGCUGCAGUGAGGAAUAGUGGUCAAUGGGCGCUAGCCUGAACCAGCCAAGUAGCGUGAAGGAUGACUGCCCUAUGGGUUGUAAACUUCGUUUAUAGGGGAAUAAAGUGCAGUAUGUAUACUGCUUUGCAUGUACCUUAUGAAUAAGGAUCGGCUAACUCCGUGCCAGCAGCCGCGGUAAUACGGAGGAUCCGAGCGUUAUCCGGAUUUAUGGGGUUGAAAGGGAGCGUAGGCGGGUUGUUAAGUCAGUUGUGAAAGUUUGCGGCUCAACCGUAAAAUUGCAGUUGAUACUGGCAUCCUUGCUUACAGUAGAGGUAGGCGGCCUUCGUUGUGUAGCGGUGCCAUGCUUAGCUAUCACGCAGAACUCCGAUUGCGACGGCAGCCUGCUGGACUGUACCUGCCGCUGCUGCUCGACCGUGUGGGUAUCAAACAGGAUUAGAUACCCUGGUAGUC